RNAcentral lists this small RNA (630 nucleotides) under Pongo abelii (Sumatran orangutan). Its description in RNAcentral is "processed transcript". The record is from RNAcentral. Lineage: Eukaryota; Metazoa; Chordata; Mammalia; Primates; Hominidae.
AGCCUUGAAUCAGUGGUGUUAUGGAUGUCAACAACCCAGUGUCCACUGGGGUAUCUCAAUGGAGCGGGAAGUUGGCGAUUACAGGGCAGUAAAUUCAGGCAUCUAUAAAAGAAUGAGACCUGAUCAGAAAUUUAAUGAACAUAUUAAGGAUGAUAAAGGUGAAGACUUUCAGAAACGUUAUAUCCUCAAGAGAGAUAACUCUAGCUUUGACAAAGAUGAUAACCAGAUGAGAAUACGUUUGAAAGAUGACAGAAGAAGCAAAUCUAUAGAAGAAAGAGAAGAAGAGUACCAGAGAGCUAGAGACCGAAUAUUUUCCCAAGAUUCCCUGUGUUCCCAAGAGAAUUACAUUAUUGACAAAAGACUCCAAGACGAGGAUGCCAGUAGUACCCAGCAGAGGCGCCAGAUAUUUAGAGUUAAUAAAGAUGCUUCAGGGAGAUCUACAAAUAGCCAUCAAAGCAGCACUGAGAAUGAGUUGAAGUACUCGGAACCACGACCCUGGAGCAGCACAGAUUCAGACAGCUCUCUUCGAAACCUGAAACCUGCUGUAACCAAAGCCAGCAGCUUCAGUGGAAUCUCAGUCCUGACAAGAGGUGAUAGUUCUGGAAGCAGCAAAAGCAUAGGCAGGCUUUC